ACCAGCGAUAGGGAUAGGAUGUGCUAUGUCCCGGAUCCGAUGUGCACUUAUCGAACGCUUUUAUUUUAAAGUGCAAUGAGUGUAAAUGGGGGAAAAAUAAUAAAGGGAAUCUGCCAUAUUGGAAGGGAUACAAUGGAGCCCAUCUCAUAGACAAUAAAGUGUGUUUGAAUAGUGCAACGCGUAUUCAAAAUGUGCUAGACAUGAGGCAACCCAUCAGUUUUCUUUACAUAUUUCCACGCUGCCCUUCGGUAUAGGCCUAGCACUCGCAUUUCCUGAGAUGUGAUUGCUCUUUGCUGAAGGACGAACAUCGAAAGGGCCUCUGCGAGGUAAUUCCUCGCCUCCGGACAGGACAGGUGAUGCCGUACCUCGAGCAAACUGCAGACACAAAGAGUUCCUCGGUGCAGCGACGAGGCCGAGGCCAAGGCCUGCCCGAAUCCACCCAGCGAUCGAGACAGAGGCGCCCCGCGGUGCCGGACAAGCAGCCCUGUCACGUCCGAAACACCAGCGGCCGUCAGCAGAUCCUCACACAACUCGUCAACCUGCAGAGGAGGGUGAAAGGGCUUAACUCCCCUUCAGAAGAGC
Molecule: long non-coding RNA, 582 nt
Organism: Macrobrachium nipponense
Lineage: Eukaryota; Metazoa; Arthropoda; Malacostraca; Decapoda; Palaemonidae
Exons: 4
Source: RefSeq, a predicted model, not a curated record